GAAUUUAAUGUGCAGGAUAUUGUGUACUUUGGACGAAUUUAAUGCUGUUAAUUAAUGUGUUUUGCUGCUGUUGUUUAAUGCUGCUGUUGUUUAAAUGCAGAAUGUUAAACAUGUCAUGGUUCAGCCGAAUUAAUGUGUGAGAUUUAAGCUAAGUAAAUUUGUUGAAUUUGCUAGGACAAUGUACAUGGACGGCAAAGAAGAGGUGGACAACAUCAUGCAUAAUUUGUGGAACAAAUUAAGGAAGCAUUUGACCAACAUCAUGCAUAAUUCAUGGAAGAAUUUGAGGAAGCAUUUGACCAACAUCAUGCAUAAUUCAUGGAAGAAUUUGAGGAAGCAUUUGGCCAACAUCAUGCAUAAUUCAUGGAAGAAUUUGAGGAAGCAUUUGACCAACAUCAUGCAUAAUUCAUGGAAGAAUUUAAGGAAGCAUUUGGCCAACAUCAUGCAUAAUUUAAGGAACAAAUUAAGGAAGCACCAUGGCCGAAUUUGGCUUCCAAUUUUACCCAUUCGGCUACCCUUUUGUUUUGCCUAUAAAUAUGUGUUAAAUUUCAUUGUAAGGGGAGAAGAACCUUGAAUUAAUGUUUUUACAUUUUGUGAGAUUGUUUACAACUCUCAUUGUUCUCCAAAGACUCGUUUGACUUAUCAAGUAACCCUUGUGGCGUCAACCCAUUCUUCUUAUCCGAACUUAUCACUUUGCAUCCAAAGUGUGGCGUUCAAGUUAUACCGAGGUUCCUAUCAUCUUUGAUAGUGGGUCAAGGUUCCAUUUUAUUCGUUUUCCAUCCAUACAACAUUUAACCUUUCCUAAGUAUUCGUAUAAGUCCCGGGUUAACACACUUAUAUUGUGUUGGUUCAACUUGAAUACCUGGUUUUCAUUCACCUAUCAUCCUCAAUACACUUCAUAACCCCUUUUGAACUAAAUUUGAGCCUUUAUCCCUUCUUUCUUAACCUAUCUUCGACAAACCUUGAUAUUACUCCAAUUCACGAUCGAGUACAUCAACGACUCGACUCUCAUCACCGAGGCCGGGGCGUAUCAUCUGGUAUCAGAGCUAGCCGAAUCGGAGUAAGAAUCAUCAUCUUUGAUAUUAUGGUUUUGUAAAAAAAAAAAUUUUGCCUACGGUCUAGGCGCGGACGAAAAGAACGUGAAAGAUCCGUAAAAAAAAUCAAAAAAAAAAUUUGCCUACGGUCUAGGCGCGGACGAAAAGAACGUGAAAGAUCCGUAUAAAAAAAAAAGAGUCUGGAAACCCUUCAACAAUUUUUUUUGAAUCAUAAUCUACACUCCUUUAUACCCCUUUGAGUGAAUUUUCAUGUUUUCAAAAAAAAAUUAUCCAAUUUAUUAUUUUUUCUUUCUUCUUUUGUAUUCGGUAUUAAAAAAAAGAGAAAUUCAAAAAAAAAAUUCAGAAUUAAAAAAAAAAGUGAUUGAAAUUCAUUUUAAGUUUUGUUUGAUAACCUACCAUUUCCGACAUCAUUGCCCACCAAGCCAACUCAAUUUUGUAAGCCGACGACAAACGGUAUUGAUUCGUCUAUCUAGUUUCUGGAGAACUUCGAGAGGCGAAAAUCGAGUGGAAAAAGGCACGAGUGGUGAGUACAUUAGAGUGAGCAAAAGCCAUUAAACAAGUGUAAACACGAGUGGAGUGUUAUCCAAUUUUCUUUGUGAGUGAAAUGUGAGAUUUUUUGUGGUGAGGUAUUUACUUUCUAUUUUAUUUUAAUCAUUUUUUUAGUAAAAAAAAAAUCAUGUCACAAGAAUUUUUCGAAUCAGAUUUCCAAUAUUUGAAGCAAGAGAUACGUAGAAUGGUGAAAUCAAAUUUUGAUAAAUUGCAUGAUCGAUUGGAUCGAGUGGAGGAAAGAGCCAGACGAAAACAAAAUCUACCAAAUCGAGAAAUGGAGUCGAGAUCAUUGCGGCGAUAUGCGUCCAAAGACUACUCGCUAAGAGAUUCUUAUCGGGAUUCCUAUUCGUCAAGGAAUUCAAGACGCGACAGCCUAGAGCUUGCAACUUCUCGACAUGACGAACGAGAGAGGACAAGUUAUUCAUCGUAUGAUUCAAAGAAGUCCUUCCCGGAGGAUUGUUCCCGAAGAAAUGGACGAGAAGCCUAUGAAAAUAUUUUCUCUUCCUUUGGGGCAAAUGAUUAUAUUUUUGAUUCUUUCGUGUCGACUGCACAUUGUAAUGAAAUCAAAAAAGUGAGAGAAAAAGAAAAUGAAGAGAAAGAAUUCGAAAAAGAAAUUGAGAUUGUACAAGAGUGCGAGCGAGAAAAAGAAAAUGAAAGAAAUGAAAAAGAGAUUGAAAAAGAAAAAGAAAUCAAAAAAGAGAGUGAGGUCGAAAAUAAAAUUGAAAACGAGAGAGGAAAUGAAAAGAGAAAAAAAGAAGUUGAGAUUAAAAAAGAAACGAGCGAAAAAGAGACAAAUGAACUAGAAAAAGUGAGGAGCAUUUCAACUAAUCCAUAUGAAACUUGUUCUUGUUCUGUUUCUACUUUUCAGGUAUCCAAAAGGCCGAGUGACGAUAAUUUACAACUCCAAUACCUUUCCAAGGAGAGAAGGUUCACCUUGGUUGAAAAAGGUAACGUUCUCAACUAUCUUAGUUCGCCUAUGCCAAAAGAGGAGCGAGGUAUGAGUUUUGAAAUUCUUAAAGCACCUCUGUUUUAUUCGAUUGUUGAUGGAAACCUUGUUGAUGAAUUGUCCUUUAGAAGUGAUCUGAACUUUGAUGUGGUUACUUGACAUCCUUUGAUUGAUGAUAAUACAUUUGCGCGGAAUGAUGGCAAGAAGAAUAACGCUUUUGGAAAUUGCGAUGCUGAUGAGUUUGUUAGUAAAAUAAUAAUUAUUCGGCAUUUGCAAGAUAAAAAGACAUAUAAGCCAUUCCAUCGGCUUGAUUUGGGUAAAAAUAUGCACUCAUUGAUCUUUUGUGAGAAACUACUUUGUAUAAAUAAGAAUGUGCGUAUGAGAUUUGAGACGUAUGAAUGCUUGAAAACAUGCAUGUCUUUGAUUUGUUUAUUUGAUAUGACGAUGACAUGUAAAAUGGUUAGUGCACUUAAAGUUGAAGAUGGUGCCUCAAAUCUGCUUUGUUAUCCAAAUUCUGCAUUUUUGAGCAAAAUUGACCGACUGAAAUUUAGAUUACAUGAUCAUUUGGAUGAGUUCUCGAUGUAUUUUGAUUAUAAUUCCAAUUUGAUUAUGAUGCAUGCUCUAUUGUCGAGUAUGGAGAUCCAUUUUGAAAAGGUUAAUUCAAGCAAGGAAUUUCGACUACUCUACAUUGCCGAGGAGAGAAGGUUUGUGUUGACCGAACAAGGUAAAACUGAUCUUUGUUUUCCUACUUUUAAAGGUAAGCCUCAUGAACUUUUUGAAACAUCGUUGUACUCUUUAGGUGGUGAUAAAGAUAGUGUUGUUGAUUUCACUCGUUAUUCACAUGCUGGUUAUGACUUGUGGAAACAAUUUGAGACAUAUGAAUGCCUUAGAACAUGUUCAUUUUUGUUUCGAAUAAUUGACGAGGCAUUAGCGAGUAAAUUAAUUUGUUUGCAUGAUUGUCAACAUGUUGCUUUGAAUCUGUCCACUCGCAUGGAAUUUUCUUGUUCUAUUCUGCUUGCAUAUGGAUUACAAAUUUAUCUGAAACACUUUUUGCUAAUUCAUGGUUAUUCCUUUCAGUUGUUCCAAUUCCAAUCCGUCCCAUUCAACCGAGGAAAGCUGAGUAAAAGUUGCUGUGUUCGAGUGAACCAAUGGCUCGACUUGAGGACAAGUCGUUCUAAAGAAGGGGGGAUGAUACGACCCUGCCCUGGAAACAUUUCUUGGCUCGACUCACGAGCGAGGCUCGUUAUUCUCACAAGCUCGUCCCAGCUCAAUUUGGGCGGAUUCUAGCUUAUGGAGCUAGAAUGCAAUUUAUUAAGUUUGCAUUUAGAUGAUGGAAUAAAUAAGUUGCUGAUUAGUUAAUUAAAUAAGUUAAUUAAUUUGUUUAAAAAUCUGGACAUUUUUAUUUUAAUGUGUCUUAGUUUAUUACCUAUUAAAUAGAUGUCUAAUAGUUAAUUAAGUGUGUCUAAAUUUAAGACAAAUUUAAUUCAUGUUGUCAAUUAAUUUUUCCAGACGAAUUUAAUGUGCAGGAUAUUGUGUACUUUGGACGAAUUUAAUGCUGUUAAUUAAUGUGUUUUGCUGCUGUUGUUUAAUGCUGCUGUUGUUUAAAUGCAGAAUGUUAAACAUGUCAUGGUUCAGCCGAAUUAAUGUGUGAGAUUUAAGCUAAGUAAAUUUGUUGAAUUUGCUAGGACAAUGUACAUGGACGGCAAAGAAGAGGUGGACAACAUCAUGCAUAAUUUGUGGAACAAAUUAAGGAAGCAUUUGACCAACAUCAUGCAUAAUUCAUGGAAGAAUUUGAGGAAGCAUUUGGCCAACAUCAUGCAUAAUUCAUGGAAGAAUUUGAGGAAGCAUUUGACCAACAUCAUGUAUAAUUCAUGGAAGAAUUUAAGGAAGCAUUUGGCCAACAUCAUGCAUAAUUUAAGGAACAAAUUGAGGAAGCACCAUGGCCGAAUUUGGCUUCCAAUUUUACCCAUUCGGCUACCCUUUUGUUUUGCCUAUAAAUAUGUGUUAAAUUUCAUUGUAAGGGGAGAAGAACCUUGAAUUAAUGUUUUUACAUUUUGUGAGAU
This 4610-nucleotide long non-coding RNA is filed under the name Gossypium barbadense (sea-island cotton). Its description in RNAcentral is "long non-coding RNA (GBAR_LNC014628)". The record is from RNAcentral. Lineage: Eukaryota; Viridiplantae; Streptophyta; Magnoliopsida; Malvales; Malvaceae.